Molecule: ribosomal RNA, 253 nt
Filed under: uncultured bacterium
Lineage: Bacteria
Description: partial 16S ribosomal RNA
Rfam family: Bacterial small subunit ribosomal RNA
Source: RNAcentral
UACGGAGGAUCCAAGCGUUAUCCGGAUUUAUUGGGUUUAAAGGGUGCGUAGGCGGCUUUGUAAGUCAGUGGUGAAAUAUGGCAGCUCAACUGUCAGGGUGCCAUUGAUACUGCGGAGCUUGAGUACAGAUGAGGUAGGCGGAAUUGACGGUGUAGCGGUGAAAUGCUUAGAUAUCGUCAAGAACACCGAUAGCGAAGGCAGCUUACUAGGCUGUAACUGACGCUGAGGCACGAAAGUGUGGGGAUCAAACAGG